UUUUCGAUUCGAUUUGUCUUCUUUUUCUAUUAAAUUAUACGCACGAUGCAACCCCGGGCUUCUCUGAAUAAUGUAUGAGGUGAAAGCCCCAUUGCUCGUGCAAAAUCAAUGCCGUUCGUGUUGCAGUUCAGUCUUACUUAUUCCACGAUUGAAUCUGUGUCAAAGUAAUGGCUACAUUCUCGAUUAGCUAUUUUCGAUUGCUAAUUUCUUUUUAUUAGUUUUGAAAUCUUAAUUUGCCUCGCUUUACCUUCAGCUUGUUUUCAAACACUUUGGAAUUUUGAGCUAGUCCUUCAGACAUAAAUUCAAACGCGGUCGUUUUCAUUUUGAGGUAUCUUUUAAUUCUUGGCUAUGAUUACAUAUUAUCCGCGCUUCUGAGAUUCUCGAUGAAGUAUUAAGGACUGAAUCAUGGUUGAAUUUCUUUAUAUGAGCCUGAAUAUUAUCUUUCCUUUUUAUUUUAAUUGAAAUUUGUAAUGUUGGUUUUGUUUAUUGAUAAUUGUUGGCUAUGAUGAUUUUUAAUUACAGCUUAAUGCCAGUUCUGCUUCUGAAAAAUCGUGAUUGUUAGAGCUGUCUAAUGUUCUGAGCCUCAAUUUUGCAAAAAAGUUGCUUUUAAUUAAUGUUUUAAGGAUUAAAUUCAUAUGUGCAAUCAGUGUAGCAAUCAGAGUAUCGCUAAAAGAUAUUUGAUUUUAAUCAUACUUAUCGUUUUUAAACUAACACGGAUUUUUGUUUGGUUGAAAUUGAUUGUGUUAUUUGUUUUAUUAUUGUAUUGAUUGUUUUAAUGUCCUAGUAUUUUCGUGAUUAAUUUGUAUAUUGGUAACUUGUAACAUUGCUGAUGAUGAUAUAAUCCAAUUUUUUGAGGUGUUGUGAAGCCAAGCCCCUGUCUUCAGGGAGAACCUACUUGGCGAAGCUCCAUUCAUAUGACAUUAAUGGAUUUAAGUGAGGCAAAAAUAUGCAUGUAGAACAUGAUAUCUUAAGCCCUCUGUAUGUAUUGUUUAUUUCGACUUUAGAAGUUAUGACCUAUUUUUAUCUGUGAGUUUCACUAUACUCUGAAUCAUCUGUAUUUUCAGUGUCUGAAAAACUCAAAUAUUGUUUGUGUUGUCAUCAGCUUCAUCUCUUGUUUGAAUGACGAGUUGGAAGUUAAAUAACAACACUAAAUUAUUCAAAUAUAUUGAAUUAGCAAUGUACUAUAUAUCAGAUAUUUGAGUCACAUCCAUGCUAAUAAACUUAGUAUAUCACAUGUUUGGGUCA
Molecule: long non-coding RNA, 1245 nt
Organism: Cicer arietinum (chickpea)
Lineage: Eukaryota; Viridiplantae; Streptophyta; Magnoliopsida; Fabales; Fabaceae
Source: RefSeq, a predicted model, not a curated record